GAACAAAGUAAAGGUAACCACGGCACCACAAGGUUAUAAAUCCUACUGGGACUCUGGGACAGGAAAAACAAGUAGCUCUCUGGGGGACAGCAGCUGCAUGGAAUGAGUCUGAGUGGCACGCAACACCCACCAAUUACAUGGACCACUAGAGUAACAAAGAGAGAUGCACUUACAUUAACAGCGCUACUCUCCACCUGCAUGCCUGUGUGAAUAGCAGCACAGCAUGCAAGUAGCAGUUCACACAACUCCUGUAACCUUGUUCAGAGCACAUCAGGUGCCCAGCAUGCAGCAGCCACUGCAGAGGGGAGGAUCCACAGCAGUAUCACACACACUCUUCAAGGGCAAGCCUCAAGGACACGCACCAUCUAACCUUCUGUAGACCAGCAACUGGUGCACAAGUCGCACUCAUUUACACACGGCAGGUACCGCAAAGUGACACCGAGGAGGGCAAUCAAGCAGUUGGAUCAAUUUUAUGAUCUGCCCUCAUUUACAGCUGAUUGGUGUGUGAUAGUAGGUCAUGUUUCUGGAGAGGCACUACCACAGCAGUGUGUGGUGGAUCGUGACCACACUUUUGUUGCGAGGCAAGAUGUAUGAUGAUGUCUGUAUUAUUUGUUACUCCCACUUCAAACAUUUAGAUGCUGCGAUUGCAAUUGAGAUGAAAACAAAUAAAGUUU
This is a long non-coding RNA of Micropterus dolomieu (smallmouth bass), 674 nucleotides long. RefSeq lists it as uncharacterized. Lineage: Eukaryota; Metazoa; Chordata; Actinopteri; Centrarchiformes; Centrarchidae. The record is from RefSeq and is a predicted model, not a curated record. The transcript has 3 exons.